This 493-nucleotide long non-coding RNA is filed under the name Coturnix japonica (Japanese quail). RNAcentral describes it as "lncRNA (ENSCJPG00005003626.1)". Lineage: Eukaryota; Metazoa; Chordata; Aves; Galliformes; Phasianidae. The record is from RNAcentral.
AUGUGGGUCACGCUGCUCUUCUUGGUGCUCUUCCUGCCUCCGACUGUGAUGACCAGAGCGUUGAUUUUCCCUUUCCGUGAUCUUGAGCAGGAUCCGUCAAGGAGGCAUUCGCAGAAUUUGCAACAGCACUUAGCAGAUGCCCUUUCUGCCGAAGGAGAUGAAGAGAAGAUCUCUGAGGAAGCAGAGGCACUAGAAUCCAGAUUUGGACCCCAAUAUCGUGCCCUACAGAACUACAAUGAGGAGCAGCCUUUGAAUGGUAUGGUAGAGCACUCGGCAAGGGAUUAAAUAGGACUUUAAAUCAAACUAAGUAUUAGAAGAAAUAUGUCAAUCCCAAAUUUGAUGAGCAGUAGUGAAAUCAGUAAGAAACCUUGAAUUGAGAGUCUUUGUCAUGCUCUCAUCCUACAACCACAGAACAGGAAAAACACCAGGCAAACCCUGUCUUUGGGGUACACACGUAUUAGCAGGUAGAAACACCAGAGCCAAAGGAUGGUGA